AUGCUGACCUCCAGGCCGGCAGGAGGGAAGGGGCUGGGUGGUUUCCUUCCUGGGGGUUUUAGAGUUCCCUCUCAGCUCUGCAAACAUCACAUCAUCAGCAUUGCCUUCAGAUGCUCAGAGAGCACGGAGCCACUAGCUUCAUCAUCACCUCUAGACUGUCCGAGUCCCAGUGAGUUCAGGCCUACAAAAGACCAUUUACUGAGCAGCACACGAAAGCGGAGGUAAACGAGGAAGCCAGGCCAGCUGCUGCAAGAGACAGACGCAGGGCUGGGUGAGACCACGAGGCCUGUGGCAGAGGCCUUGACGGGCCACUGAGCCACCUGGAGGAGGGCAGUGAUGUGAAAGCAGGUAUGGGCUGUGCCAGCAGUGUCGAGAGCACGGUGAGAGCUAGGCUGUAGGCUGAGCUGCCCACGGUUGUUCCCAAGCUCUCAUGGUCUUUCUUGGCCUUGGAUUCUGCUGUCCAACGAGGCUUGCAUACAGAACUUGCUUGGGG
RNAcentral lists this long non-coding RNA (493 nucleotides) under Capra hircus (goat). RNAcentral describes it as "lncRNA (ENSCHIG00000006816.1)". The record is from RNAcentral. Lineage: Eukaryota; Metazoa; Chordata; Mammalia; Artiodactyla; Bovidae.